RNAcentral lists this long non-coding RNA (1074 nucleotides) under Triticum aestivum (bread wheat). Its description in RNAcentral is "long non-coding RNA (TAES_LNC001312)". The record is from RNAcentral. Lineage: Eukaryota; Viridiplantae; Streptophyta; Magnoliopsida; Poales; Poaceae.
UCUUGGACACUGGUAUUCGAGGUACGAGCUCUCGGCCAUCCAGUGAUUGCUGCCUUAAUCACGAAGCAAUCUCCACAUGUUUUGCCCCUGGCUUACAGCACCCUUCUCUUCUUUGUUGAUUCUGUCUCCCAUCAUCAGAUAGAGAGGACGAGCUGCAAGGCGGCCAAGCCUCGCGGGCAGGAGGAGUUGGACACACAUGGAGAGUGCAGACCGAGAGGAUUCUGGCCACGGGGAGCACCGUCGGCGCGGAUUCACCCAUAGCAAAAAUAUGGUGUUAUCCUGAUUGAGCUUUUCUUCUAGCCACCAUCCUCCCCCUUCGCUUCCUCUUCUCACCCCGUUGUUUGGGUCUUCUUGACCUUGCAAGACCUUUUCUUGACCUUGUAAGACCCAACAAUAUCACGUUUUCUCCCACACUCUUCAUCUUCUUGUUCCACCUUCUUUUCCUUGCCAUGUUCCUUUCCACCCCUCUCUCUUCCAUCUUUCUUCCAUCUAUCCCUCCUGAGCUAUAUUUUUUUAUAGUUGCAUUUCUUAUAUUCAAAGUAUUGGGAACAAGAUGAUACAUGGAGUGACAAGUGAAGGAGAUUCUACCUCCUUUGUCAUACGAUGUGUGUAGAUUCAUCAUUUCCACGUUGUAUUUUCCUUCUUUUGUUUCGGUUGUAGAGAGUACAGUUGAUGAGAUACAAAAGCACAGUCCUUGUUGCCGUAAUGCUCAUGCACGUGGAGUAGGAGCCUACAUGUAAUUGAGCAUGUUUAUGUGUGCCAACGUUGUAAUAAGUUUGCUAUUCCUGCUUGAAUAGAAACAUUCUGAUGCUGUGGUACUGUUGAGAAGAACUGUUCAUUUUGGCAGCGCAGAGGCACCGCGGUAUUUGUGUGUUGUCAUUUCGUUUUGUUGCGCCGAUCUACAGAAGUUCAGUUAUGUCUCAUCUUUGUAGCAUCGUAACAUUCGACCCUAGUCCAUACUUAUCACCUAUGAUACAUUUCAAGUUUUCAACAUCGUACUUGUGAUUUACGAACAACUUCAAUACUACACUUUUCCCUGCAAAAAAAGAGAAGAAAAACAGCGCUGCAUUUUGC